AUGUGCAGGGCAAAGAGGGAGGGUGGCAUGGGUUUCCGAGAUCCGGAGGUGUUCAACCAAGCAUUGUUGGCUAAACAGGCGUGGAGGAUCUUGCAGAACCCCACCUCUCUCUGCGCCCGAGUUCUUAAAGCUCGGUAUUUCUCUGAGGGAUCAAUUAUGACAGCUACGUGCCCAAGUGGGGGAUCAUACACUUUUCGAAGCAUUUUGCAUGGA
This 213-nucleotide ribosomal RNA is filed under the name Triticum aestivum (bread wheat). RNAcentral describes it as "partial small subunit ribosomal RNA". Lineage: Eukaryota; Viridiplantae; Streptophyta; Magnoliopsida; Poales; Poaceae. The record is from RNAcentral.